AGCGAACGCUGGCGGCAUGCCUAACACAUGCAAGUCGCACGGGGGGGCUUCGGCCUCCCAGUGGCGGACGGGUGAGGAACGCGUAGGGACCUGUCGAGGGGUGGGGGAUAACCGCGGGAAACUGCGGCUAAUACCGCAUGACGCCGCGGCGUGACAGCCGGGGCCAAAGGCGAAAGCCGCCCGCCGAGGGGCCUGCGUCCGAUUAGCUGGUUGGCGGGGUAGCGGCCCACCAAGGCGUCGAUCGGUAGCUGGUCUGAGAGGGUGAUCAGCCACACCGGGACUGAGACACGGCCCGGACUCCUACGGGAAGCAGCAGUGGGGAAUAGUGGACAAUGGGCGCAAGCCUGAUCCAGCAAUGCCGCGUGGGUGAAGAAGGUCUUCGGAUUGUAAAGCCCUUUCGGCGGGGACGAUGGUGACGGUACCCGCAGAAGAAGCCCCGGCUAACUUCGUG
RNAcentral lists this ribosomal RNA (451 nucleotides) under uncultured bacterium. RNAcentral describes it as "partial 16S ribosomal RNA". It matches the Rfam family "Bacterial small subunit ribosomal RNA", at positions 28 to 507 of the family's 1533-position model. The record is from RNAcentral.